This 500-nucleotide ribosomal RNA is filed under the name uncultured bacterium. RNAcentral describes it as "partial 16S ribosomal RNA". It matches the Rfam family "Bacterial small subunit ribosomal RNA", at positions 30 to 523 of the family's 1533-position model. The record is from RNAcentral.
AUUGAACGCUGGCGGAAUGCUUUACACAUGCAAGUCGAACGGCAGCACGGACUUCGGUCUGGUGGCGAGUGGCGAACGGGUGAGUAAUGUAUCGGAACGUGCCCAGUCGUGGGGGAUAACGUAGUGAAAAUUACGCUAAUACCGCAUACGAUCUAUGGAUGAAAGCGGGGGAUCGCAAGACCUCGCGCGAUUGGAGCGGCCGAUAUCAGAUUAGGUAGUUGGUGGGGUAAAGGCCCACCAAGCCAACGAUCUGUAGCUGGUCUGAGAGGACGACCACCCACACUGGAACUGGGACACAGUCCAGACUCCUACGGGAGGCAGCAGUGGGGAAUUUUGGACAAUGGGCGAAAGCCUGAUCCAGCCAUUCCGCGUGCAGGAUGAAGGCCCUCGGGUUGUAAACUGCUUUUGUACAGAACGAAAAGGUUUCUACUAAUACUAGGAGCUCAUGACGGUACCGUAAGAAUAAGCACCGGCUAACUACGUGCCAGCAGCCGCCGUAA